RNAcentral lists this ribosomal RNA (386 nucleotides) under uncultured bacterium. RNAcentral describes it as "bacterial SSU rRNA". It matches the Rfam family "Bacterial small subunit ribosomal RNA", at positions 28 to 427 of the family's 1533-position model. The record is from RNAcentral.
AAUGAACGUUGGCGGCGUGGAUUAGGCAUGCAAGUCGUACGGGCCGCAAGGCCAGUGGCGCAAGGGUGAGUAAGGCGACGGUAACCAACCCCAUGAUCGGGUAUAGCCGCGGGAAACCGCGGGUAAUCCCCGGCGACGUCCCGAGGAGGCAUCUCCCCGGGACCCAAAGCUCCGGCGUCGUGGGACGGGCUGUCGUGGUAUUAGCUAGUUGGCGGGGUGACGGCCCACCAAGGCGAUGAUGCCUACCGGGCGUGCGAGCGUGGCCCGGCACACUGGGACUGAGACACUGCCCAGACUCCUACGGGAGGCUGCAGUCGAGAAUCUUCGGCAAUGGGCGCAAGCCUGACCGAGCGACGCCGCGUGGAGGACGAAGGCCUUCGGUUGUU